Molecule: ribosomal RNA, 201 nt
Filed under: uncultured bacterium
Lineage: Bacteria
Description: partial 16S ribosomal RNA
Rfam family: Bacterial small subunit ribosomal RNA
Source: RNAcentral
ACGCUCGACACCUACGGGAGGUAGCAGUCGGGAAUAUUGCGCAAUGGAGGAAACUCUGACGCAGUGACGCCGCGUGCAGGAAGAAGGUUUUCGGAUUGUAAACUGCUUUAGACAGGGAAGAAAGAAAUGACAGUACCUGUAGAAUAAGCUCCGGCUAACUACGUGUCAGCAGCCGCGGUAAUCUGAGCGGGCUGGCAAGGC